GACGAACGCUGGCGGCGUGCUUAACACAUGCAAGUCGAACGGAAAGGCCCUGCUUGCAGGGUACUCGAGUGGCGAACGGGUGAGUAACACGUGGGUGAUCUGCCCUGCACUUCGGGAUAAGCCUGGGAAACUGGGUCUAAUACCGGAUAGGAGCCAUUUUUAGUGUGAUGGUUGGAAAGUUUUUUUCGGUGUAGGAUGAGCUUGCGGCCUAUCAGCUUGUUGGUGGGGUAAUGGCCUACCAAGGCGGCGACGGGUAGCCGGCCUGAGAGGGUGGACGGCCACAUUGGGACUGAGAUACGGCCCAGACUCCUACGGGAGGCAGCAGUGGGGAAUAUUGCACAAUGGGCGCAAGCCUGAUGCAGCGACGCCGCGUGGGGGAUGACGGCCUUCGGGUUGUAAACUCCUUUCGCUAGGGACGAAGCUUUUUGGGACGGGACCUAGAUAAGAAGCACCGGCUAACUACGU
This 465-nucleotide ribosomal RNA is filed under the name uncultured bacterium. Its description in RNAcentral is "partial 16S ribosomal RNA". It matches the Rfam family "Bacterial small subunit ribosomal RNA", at positions 28 to 506 of the family's 1533-position model. The record is from RNAcentral.